UGGUAGAGUAGAAGAAGAAAAGGAAGAUGGAUUGAUCUUGGCUUAGUUUCCUUGUUGUGUAAGAGCUGGUUGCCACCAAAAACAGAAUAAUGGUGCUGUUCUUCUGUGCGUGCUGAACACUCCUACCCUACGGCUCUAAACUCAACAACAAGUUCAGCCUCCAAACGAUUCUCUUUCUCUCUUCCUUCAGUUAGCUGCUCAUUUGCCCUCUCCCACCCUUUAAAGUGCCCUGUGUUUUUCACACUUUCACUCUUGUACCUUUUCCUGUUCAGUGCCUGUCCCUCCCCCCCAGCUUUCCUCACGCUCUCUGCAUGUGUCUCUGCCAUGUGGUUGACUGUCCCUCUCCCUGGCCUCUGCAGUACGUGCGCUACAUGGGAAAGAAGACACUGCUGGCUCGGCAUGGACAUCCUCUCUGCACUGACCUGCACACCUUCCCUCCUUCACCUGCUCAAACCCAAACACGGCGGAUGAUGGUGGUGCUGUGACGCAGGUCAGUAAAAGGACUGUUUAUGCUGCUGUUAUGUUGUUGCUGAUGAUUUAAUGAGAGCAGAAGCGUCUGCAGAUGUCCUGRGUGUUUGCAUUUAGCCUGCAUGUGUUGCAGUUCAGAGUGACGGAGAUGAAUAUGCAUUGUGAUAGCCACGCUGUUGUGACAGGCUGGGGAAGAACAGUUGCACUCACUGACCCCUCUAAGUGAGUGCACAUGAGGAUAAAACCACUCUCCCUCCCCUAUCGGAGUCCRCCACCCCCAUCCUCCUGCUCCCCAGUGUUGUGCUUACUCUCACUUUCUCUGAAACUCCCUCCCUUUUCUUGUUUUCCUUAUUAUGUCUGUUCUCUGCUUACAUUCCCGUUUUUACUCAUCCCCUCCCUAUUCCCUGUUUUUCUCUGUUCAGCCUCUCAGUGUCGUAGCCUGUGACAGCAUGGAUGCUGUUAGGUCUGUACUUCGAAAACCAAAACAUCUGCUGGUCCUCAAACAUCUGCUUGUCUUCCCUGCUCCCAGUCCAUCUGUCAACAGGGAGUCCACAGUCGAGUGUCCUCAGCCAGUGGAGCUGAAACUUUGAAGUGCUUGUCCUCCAUGUUGCUGUUUUCAAAGGCCAAAAUGUAAUUUGAGAGUUAUUCUGGUCUUCCAGAGACCAAGUUCAGUUUUCAGGGAGACAUUGAUGCAGUUUGUCACCAUCCAGCGGCUGUGAUUGCUACUGCAGGUCACUGAGUUCAUGACAGAACUUGAUGCUCUUUGCUGGAGCUGCUGCUGUGCAGCUCAUCUACAGAUUGACAGACAUUGCUUUUGAAAAGCGAACACUGAGCCAGAUGUUAGAGGGCGUAUUCUAAUAAUAUGAUGUUUUAAAUUAUUUUGUUUAUAUAGUAGAAACUAGACCUGAAUUUUCUCAUAUCACUUAUAAAGAAAACUAGUUGCUGAAUCAUCGGGUCAGUUAUUGUUGGUAUUAUUUUUAUUUGUAGUAAUCAGUAUUAACAAAAUGAUUAAGAAACUUAACAUAUAUAAAUGUACCUGCAACCUUGUUUGCUUUUUUGCAUUUAGUUUAGUUGAAUAACCACGUGUUGUCAGUGUGGUUGAGAGUUGAAUUUUUUUCUGUAUUUAAAUAUUUAUUAGGAGCUAAAUUGGCCUAAGCACUCUGCACAAAUACCACAAGUCCUUGCUGAAGGCUUUGGAUCUGAGGUAAGAGGAGAAGCACAAGAAAAGACAAAUCAAAAACACAAUUUCUAACAACAACAUGGCAAAACCUACAAGUUUCCACCGCUGAUAAAAUGCACAGAGUUGUAAAGCUUUCCGCUCUUACACUUCAGUAUGAUAAUGAUUUUUCACCAGCGAAUUGUUUUUGACUUGGCCAAUCAGAAAAGGCCUUCAAGAACUCAACUGCCAGCUAUUAAGCAGGAUUUCUGUGGUUGAAUACUUUUGUACUUGUGCAGCAACAGUAGCUUCAUAAAGUGGCCUGUCCACACUAUGUUGCCUAAUCUAACUUCAUGGAAAUGUACUGAGUGUGGCAGCUGUGGGACAAUGUUACCACUCCAUUGUCUAAAGGCACAUGCUGAGUGUGACAUGACCUACAAUUUCAAUAAAAAUUGUUUACUUUCA
Molecule: long non-coding RNA, 2089 nt
Organism: Austrofundulus limnaeus
Lineage: Eukaryota; Metazoa; Chordata; Actinopteri; Cyprinodontiformes; Rivulidae
Exons: 2
Source: RefSeq, a predicted model, not a curated record